RNAcentral lists this ribosomal RNA (497 nucleotides) under uncultured bacterium. RNAcentral's name for it is "partial 16S ribosomal RNA". It matches the Rfam family "Bacterial small subunit ribosomal RNA", at positions 28 to 507 of the family's 1533-position model. The record is from RNAcentral.
GAUGAACGCUGGCGGCGUGCUUAAUACAUGCAAGUCGAGCGAACAGACGAGGAGCUUGCUCCUCUGACGUUUGCGGCGGACGGGUGUGUAACAUGUGGAUCACCUACCUAUAAGUCUGGGAUAACUACGGGAAACCGGCGCUAAUCCCGGAUAAUAUAUUGCUCCGCAUGGUUGAAUAGUGAAAGACGGUUUUGCUGUCUGUUAUCGAUGGAUCCGCGCCGCAUUAGCUAGUUGGUAAGGUCACGGCUUACCACGGCAACGAUGCGUAAACGACCUGAGAGGGGGGUCGGCCGCACGAGAGCGUGGACACGGUCCAGAGUCCUACGGGACGGAGCAGUAGGGAAUCGUCCGCAGUAGGCGGGAACCUUGCAGAGCGACGCCGCGUGAGAGAUGGAGAUCUUCGGAGCGUAAUACUCGGUUAUGAGGGAAGAACAAAUGUGUAAGGAACUAUGCACGUCUUGACGGUACCGGGUCAGAAAGCCACGGCUAACUACGUG